This 450-nucleotide ribosomal RNA is filed under the name uncultured bacterium. RNAcentral describes it as "partial 16S ribosomal RNA". It matches the Rfam family "Bacterial small subunit ribosomal RNA", at positions 354 to 796 of the family's 1533-position model. The record is from RNAcentral.
GUGGGGAAUCUUCCGCAAUGGACGAAAGUCUGACGGAGCAACGCCGCGUGAGUGAUGAAGGUCUUCGGAUUGUAAAGCUCUGUUAAUCGGGACGAAAGAGCCUAGUGUGAAUAAUGCUAGGAAGUGACGGUACCGGAAUAGAAAGCCACGGCUAACUACGUGCCAGCAGCCGCGGUAAUACGUAGGUGGCAAGCGUUGUCCGGAAUUAUUGGGCGUAAAGCGCGCGCAGGCGGAUCUGCCAGUCUGUCUUAAAAGUUCGGGGCUUAACCCCGUGAUGGGAUGGAAACUACAGAUCUAGAGUAUCGGAGAGGAAAGUGGAAUUCCUAGUGUAGCGGUGAAAUGCGUAGAUAUUAGGAGGAACACCAGUGGCGAAGGCGGCUUUCUGGACUGUAACUGACACUGAGGCACGAAAGCGUGGGGAGCAAACAGGAUUAGAAACCCCGGUAGUCC